This is a long non-coding RNA of Heterocephalus glaber (naked mole-rat), 520 nucleotides long. The record is from Ensembl. NCBI's taxonomy places the organism in Eukaryota, Metazoa, Chordata, Mammalia, Rodentia, Bathyergidae.
CUUCUGGAACACCUUGGAACCUCGCAACACUUCCUGCUGCUUCCGAACUAUUGCAAAUCAAGCCAGACGACCCUGCUCACUCACCACAGCGCCCGCCCCCUGGGGGCUGUUUGGGGUCGUAUCAGCCAUUGGAGACAAAUUCGCGCCUGCGACGGUGUAAUCGCGGAGUGAAGUGACAGAACGUCAGCGCUGGGGCCACGACCCGGGAAACCGGCUUCCUCGCCGGGUGCCACAGGCUCGUCUCGCCUUGCGGGAGCUCCGAGACUCCUGAGUACAAGGUCUACACCAGAGGCUUGAAAAUACAAGAUCAAGUUAUCAGCGAUGUGGCUUCAUUUUGUGGCCUUUUCUCUUGGCUUGAAGGCAGCUGGAUGCUCAGCAGAGGGGAAUGUCUAGGUUCACAACCCUGUGCAACACAUCAAACAAUUACUUAUAGUCCAAAGAAUUCAGGAACUGUGAGAAUAACCUGGACUCUUCAAAAGAAUCAGGAAAUUAAUUCUACACGAAUUAGAUCUGUUUUAGG